GUGACGGGCCCGCACAAGCAGCGGAGCGUGUGGUUAAUUCGAUGUUACACGAAGAACUUACCAGGGUUUGACAUGCAAGUGGUAGGAAGCCGAAAGGUGACCGACCUUCGGGAGCUUGCACAGGUGCUGCAUGGCUGUCGUCAGCUCGUGUCGUGAGAUGUUCGGUUAAGUCCGCUAACGAGCGCAACCCUCGCUGUGUGUUAUAUGUGUCACACGGGACUGCCGGUCUUAAGCCGGAGGAAGGUGGGGAUGAUGUCAAGUCAGCAUGGCCUUUAUAUCCUGGGCUACACACACGUUACAAUGGCAGAUACAAUAGGUUGCGAAACCGCGAGGUGGAGCCAAUCCUCAAAGUCUGUCUCAGUUCAGAUUGUAGGCUGCAACUCGCCUGCAUGAAGUUGGAGUUGCUAGUAAACGCAGGUCAGCUAUACUGCGUUGAAUACGUUCCCGGGGUUU
RNAcentral lists this ribosomal RNA (453 nucleotides) under uncultured Leptolinea sp. RNAcentral's name for it is "bacterial SSU rRNA". It matches the Rfam family "Bacterial small subunit ribosomal RNA", at positions 911 to 1382 of the family's 1533-position model. The record is from RNAcentral. Lineage: Bacteria; Bacillati; Chloroflexota; Anaerolineae; Anaerolineales; Anaerolineaceae.